AUUGAACGCUGGCGGCGUGCUUAACACAUGCAAGUCGAUCGGUAACAGGUGUAGCAAUACAUGCUGACGAGAGGCGGACGGGUGAGUAAUGCUUGGGAAUCUGCCUAUUAGUGGGGGACAACCCGGGAAACUCGGGCUAAUACCGCAUACGCUCUACGGAGGAAAGCCGGGGACCGCAAGGCCUGGCGCUAAUAGAUGAGCCCAAGUCGGAUUAGCUAGUUGGUAGGGUAACGGCCUACCAAGGCGACAAUCCGUAGCUGGUCUGAGAGGACGACCAGCCACACCGGAACUGAGACACGGUCCGGACUCCUACGGGAGGCAGCAGUGGGGAAUAUUGGACAAUGGGGGCAACCCUGAUCCAGCGACGCCGCGUGGGUGAAGAAGGCCUGCGGGUUGUAAAGCCCUUUCGGUGGGGAAGAAAGUCUCGACCUAAUACGUCGGGACCUUGACGUAACCACUAAGAAGCACCGGCUAACUCUGUGCCAGCAG
RNAcentral lists this ribosomal RNA (489 nucleotides) under uncultured bacterium. RNAcentral describes it as "bacterial SSU rRNA". It matches the Rfam family "Bacterial small subunit ribosomal RNA", at positions 29 to 514 of the family's 1533-position model. The record is from RNAcentral.